GAACGCUGGCGGCGUGCCUAAUACAUGCAAGUAGAACGCUGAAGGAGAAGCUUGCUUCUCUGGAUGAGUUGCGAACGGGUGAGUAACGCGUAGGUAACCUGCCUGGUAGCGGGGGAUAACUAUUGGAGACGAUAGCUAAUACCGCAUAAGAGUAGAUGUUGCAUGACAUUUACUUAAAAGGUGCAAAUGCAUCACUACCAGAUGGACCUGCGUUGUAUUAGCUAGUUGGUGGGGUAACGGCUCACCAAGGCAACGAUACAUAGCCGACCUGAGAGGGUGAUCGGCCACACUGGGACUGAGACACGGCCCAGACCCCUACGGGAGGCAGCAGUAGGGAAUCUUCGGCAAUGGACGGAAGUCUGACCGAGCAACGCCGCGUGAGUGAAGAAGGUUUUCGGAUCGUAAAGCUCUGUUGUAAGAGAAGAACGAGUGUGAGAGUGGAAAGUUCACACUGUGACGGUAUCUUACCAGAAAGGGACGGCUAACUACGUGCCAGCAGCCGCGGUAAUACGUAGGUCCCGAGCGUUGUCCGGACUUAUUGGGCGUAAAGCGAGCGCAGGCGGUUAGAUAAGUCUGAAGUUAAAGGCUGUGGCUUAACCAUAGUACGCUUUGGAAACUGUUUAACUUGAGUGCAAGAGGGGAGAGUGGAAUUCCAUGUGUAGCGGUGAAAUGCGUAGAUAUAUGGAGGAACACCGGUGGCGAAAGCGGCUCUCUGGCUUGUAACUGACGCUGAGGCUCGAAAGCGUGGGGAGCAAACAGGAUUAGAUACCCUGGUAGUCCACGCCGUAAACGAUGAGUGCUAGGUGUUAGACCCUUUCCGGGGCUUAGUGCCGCAGCUAACGCAUUAAGGCACUCCGCCUGGGGAGUACGACCGCAAGGGUG
Molecule: ribosomal RNA, 882 nt
Filed under: uncultured bacterium
Lineage: Bacteria
Description: bacterial SSU rRNA
Rfam family: Bacterial small subunit ribosomal RNA
Source: RNAcentral